UACGUAGGGUGCGAGCGUUGUCCGGAAUUAUUGGGCGUAAAGAGCUCGUAGGCGGUUUGUCGCGUCUGCUGUGAAAACUCGGGGCUUAACCCCGGGCCUGCAGUGGGUACGGGCAGACUAGAGGUAGGUAGGGGAGAUCGGAAUUCCUGGUGUAGCGGUGAAAUGCGCAGAUAUCAGGAGGAACACCGGUGGCGAAGGCGGAUCUCUGGGCCUUACCUGACGCUGAGGCGCGAAAGCUAGGGGAGCGAACAGG
This 253-nucleotide ribosomal RNA is filed under the name uncultured bacterium. Its description in RNAcentral is "partial 16S ribosomal RNA". It matches the Rfam family "Bacterial small subunit ribosomal RNA", at positions 524 to 776 of the family's 1533-position model. The record is from RNAcentral.